This 460-nucleotide ribosomal RNA is filed under the name uncultured bacterium. Its description in RNAcentral is "partial 16S ribosomal RNA". It matches the Rfam family "Bacterial small subunit ribosomal RNA", at positions 338 to 795 of the family's 1533-position model. The record is from RNAcentral.
CCUACGGGAGGCAGCAGUGAGGAAUAUUGGUCAAUGGGCGGGAGCCUGAACCAGCCAAGUCGCGUGAGGGAAGACGGUCCUAUGGAUUGUAAACCUCUUUAGGCGGGGAGCAAUGCCGGGCACGCGUGCCCGGAGGGAGAGUACCCGCAGAAUAAGCAUCGGCUAACUCCGUGCCAGCAGCCGCGGUAAUACGGAGGAUGCGAGCGUUAUCCGGAUUUAUGGGGUUUAAAGGGUGCGUAGGCGGAUUUUUAAGUCAGCGGUAAAAUGUGCGGGCUCAACCCGGGCCGGCCGUUGAAACUGGGGAUCUUGAGUGGGCGAGGGGUAUGCGGAAUGCGUGGUGUAGCGGUGAAAUGCAUAGAUAUCACGCAGAACUCCGAUUGCGAAGGCAGCAUACCGGCGCCCGACUGACGCUGAGGCACGAAAGCGUGGGGAUCGAACAGGAUUAGAUACCCCGGUAGUC